Molecule: ribosomal RNA, 253 nt
Filed under: uncultured bacterium
Lineage: Bacteria
Description: partial 16S ribosomal RNA
Rfam family: Bacterial small subunit ribosomal RNA
Source: RNAcentral
UACGUAGGGUGCAAGCGUUGUCCGGAAUUAUUGGGCGUAAAGAGCUUGUAGGCGGUUUGUCGCGUCUGCUGUGAAAUUUCGGGGCUCAACCCCGAACUUGCAGUGGGUACGGGAAGACUAGAGUGUGGUAGGGGAGACUGGAAUUCCUGGUGUAGCGGUGAAAUGCGCAGAUAUCAGGAGGAACACCGGUGGCGAAGGCGGAUCUCUGGGCCUUACCUGACGCUCAGGUGCGAAAGCUAGGGGAGCGAACAGG